AUAUAACAUUAUUAAUCUUUCUAUAAUUUCGAGAAUUAGUUUUCAUAAAUUGUUAUUUGUAAUAUUUUUUAAAUUAUAUGGCAAGUAAUGUUAAAUGUUUUUAGACUUACCUUAAAUUUUUUGAUCUAAUUAAAUAAAUAAAAAUUAAAAACAAUUGACCAAUCAAAUUAUAACAAUUUUUUUUAAACUUCACCUAUGAAUGACAUGUCACCAGACCUCAAUAAAAUGACUUCUUUUUUAAUAUAUAGGGAGAUCUAUACUAAUUUCCCAAACACAACUAGUAGAUCAUUUUUAAUAUAUUAUUUCUGCAGUAUUUAUAUUUAAUUAUAUUUGCAUCGUUUUUAUUUUUUUAGCCAGCACAGUUUCAAUUUUCAUAUGCUUCCAGAGAAUACUUGUAGAAGAGAAUUUCUUGAUAUAGGGUGUUGGGAAAAUUUUGAAGAAUCUCUGAUAAACACUUUUGGUUGGGCUUGAUAUAGGGUCACAUUCAGUUCAUUUCGCUGACUUAACUGAAUGGGAAAAUUUUGAAGAAUCUCUGAUAAAAAGGUAUUCAGAUACUUGUCAACAUUUCGCUGACUUAACUGAAUGAUGAUAUUAAGUAGACAAGUAUCUGAAUACCUUUUUAUCAAAUUUACAUGUGAUAUAGGAUGAUGUCGAAAGAUUUGAAACUGGCGAUGAUAGGAAUUGUCCAUUUUUUAAUAUCAUCAACAAUCGACGUACUUUAUAUUGCUGGGAUGAUAGAGUUAUUAAGAAAAUCAACAUUUAAAAAAAAAAUCAACAUUUUUAAAAAAUCAACAUUUAAAAAAAAAUCAACAUCUAAAAAACAAAAAUCAAGAGACAAUGCAAUUUCAAUUACAAGAAUAUAAAGUCUAGAAAUUACCUUUUUUGGUGCAAAGGUUAAAAUGCAUACCACUUUUCUGAAUUUUUACAUUGUUGCAAAGCAACUUAUUACAGAGUUAAAAAAAAAAAGAAAACGACACCGAACAACAAACUAAGCAAAGAACAAAAAAGAAAGCUAGCUAUAUCGAUCGAUAAACCAAAAGUACAGCUGGAGAAGAGAGUGAGCGUCAGCUGGGCGAGAAAUUACUUUCAUGGUUAAUCUUUUUUUUUUUUUAAAGAAGUUUCAUGGUUAAUCUGUACAAAGACUUGGUCAGCGACAGUCUCGCUUCUCUCUUUUCUCUACUGACUAGAGUUUAUUUUCUUCUGGCUUUGCGUAACCGGUAAUGGGCUUCUAUAGUUACCGUCUGUCGGGUUUUGUUUUUUGUUAUUUCUUUAUUUGCAUUUCCAUGAUUUAAGUUUUUAGUCUUUCAGUUAGGUUUCUAGAUCAUGAUCUCCAAAUUUCGUUUUUGAUGGUUGGGCUUAUCAUUGGAGGUUCGUCCGGCUGCUUGGCUAUCGUGGAUCUUCUCUUUCCGACAUAUUUUCCUACUCUCGAUUUUUGAAGGGGUUUCCGACAUGAGAAGACGAAGAAGAAACGAGGAAGCUACAGAGGAGGAGAGAUCGAUGUUCGGUCACAUUCAGUUAAGUUUGAGUACUCAGACGAUGAAUGAUGAUCAACUGACAAGCAACACACUUAUCUUUUUAUCUUUGUUUCCUUUGCUUCUCUUUUAAAAUUAUCAUCUUUGCUUUGCUUUGCUUAUUUCAAAAUGUAAAACUAUUCGGAUCUAAUUAACCCGAAACAGGGUUCAAGUUUUGUCUGUGUUGAUUGUCUCAUUUGAAACUUGUACGGACAUGAAUCUUUUUCAGUUUUUUGUCA
Brassica rapa (field mustard) is the source of this 1750-nucleotide long non-coding RNA. RefSeq lists it as uncharacterized. Lineage: Eukaryota; Viridiplantae; Streptophyta; Magnoliopsida; Brassicales; Brassicaceae. The record is from RefSeq and is a predicted model, not a curated record.